UAUCCGUAGGUGAACCUGCGGAAGGAUCAUUAUUGUAUCACCGAGGUGCGAGGGCUGUCGCUGACCCGAGUGGUCGUGCACGCACGCGUGACCUACCACACCUCCAUCUCAGCCAGAUAUGAACCACCACGCGGGUGCCCCUUUUACCUGUUUGGAGAGGACCUUCCGUUUUCACAAAUACUUUUGUUUAAGCGCAUAAUGUCUUUUUUGUUUUUCCGUUCACACCGGCUAUCCAACUUUCAACAACGGAUAUCUUGGCUCUCGAUUCGAAGAGCAAAC
Molecule: unclassified non-coding RNA, 279 nt
Filed under: plant metagenome
Description: partial contains small subunit ribosomal RNA, internal transcribed spacer 1, and 5.8S ribosomal RNA
Source: RNAcentral